ACAUGCAGUCGAGGGGCAGCAUUCCAGUUUGCUUGCAAACUGGAGAUGGCGACCGGCGCACGGGUGAGUAACACGUAUCCAACCUGCCGAUAACUCGGGGAUAGCCUUUCGAAAGAAAGAUUAAUACCCGAUGGCAUAAUAGAACCGCAUGGUUUGAUUAUUAAAGAAUUUCGGUUAUCGAUGGGGAUGCGUUCCAUUAGGCAGUUGGUGGGGUAACGGCCCACCAAACCUUCGAUGGAUAGGGGUUCUGAGAGGAAGGUCCCCCACAUUGGAACUGAGACACGGUCCAAACUCCUACGGGAGGCAGCAGUGAGGAAUAUUGGUCAAUGGACGAGAGUCUGAACCAGCCAAGUAGCGUGAAGGAUGACUGCCCUAUGGGUUGUAAACUUCUUUUAUAUGGGAAUAAAGUGGUCCACGUGUGGAUUUUUGUAUGUACCAUAUGAAUAAGGAUCGGCUAACUCCGUGCCAGCAGCCGCGGUAAUACGGAGGAUCCGAGCGUUAUCCGGAUUUAUUGGGUUUAAAGGGAGCGUAGGUGGACAGUUAAGUCAGUUGUGAAAGUUUGCGGCUCAACCGUAAAAUUGCAGUUGAUACUGGCUGUCUUGAGUACAGUAGAGGUGGGCGGAAUUCGUGGUGUAGCGGUGAAAUGCUUAGAUAUCACGAAGAACUCCGAUUGCGAAGGCAGCUCACUGGACUGCAACUGACACUGAUGCUCGAAAGUGUGGGUAUCAAACAGGAUUAGAUACCCUGGUAGUCCACACAGUAAACGAUGAAUACUCGCUGUUUGCGAUAUACAGUAAGCGGCCAAGCGAAAGCAUUAAGUAUUCCACCUGGGGAGUACGCCGGCACGGUGAAACUCAAGGAAUUGACGGGGGCCCGCACAAGCGGAGGAACAUGUGGUUUAAU
This 903-nucleotide ribosomal RNA is filed under the name uncultured bacterium. RNAcentral's name for it is "bacterial SSU rRNA". It matches the Rfam family "Bacterial small subunit ribosomal RNA", at positions 53 to 950 of the family's 1533-position model. The record is from RNAcentral.